UAUUCCUCGGAUCCUCUUCUCUCUUUUCUCUCCCUUAUCUCAUCCAUGCAGCCAAAUCUCUCCUCCACACGCUCACCUUCUCCUCUUCUCCCCAGCAGUUGUCGUGGCCACUACCGCUACGGUGCCGACCGGCCAUGGCCUCCGCCCACCUUUGCACGUCUUUCCUUUGGGUGCCGGUGGCUGUCGCCCACCUCACCCUUUCCCUCUGACGAAGAAACAUGAUUGCAAGAAGCUGCAACCAUGGCCGUAGAAAGUUGGAACCGCGACCGCGGAUGCUGCAACGACGACAGUAGUGAGUUGGAACUGGUGACCACUCGCACUAGAACUGUCACCUCGGGAUGCUACAACGAUGACUACGGCGAGCUGGAACCAUGCCACGAGAUGUUGCGUAGGUGGCCCACGCGACCACCAAUGUUGCAACCGGCGAGGUGAGUUGCUGGGACCAGCUACACGUUUUCCUGAAUCGGUACUUGGUCUUGAUGCAUAGGCAUUACAUGUGAUGUUGAUGCUACAACCGGCGGCGGAGUUGCUAGGAUCGACAACAUGAUUUUUUGUGUUGGUGACCACUGGUGCUAUUGAUGUGGGCGACGACAAGGACAACAUGGACCGAGGCGAGACGACGACAACAACAGGGACCAGCGGCGGCGGUGCGAGGGCAGCGAGAUGGCGAUGCUUCAAGGGCAGUCGCCUCGCCUGUCCAUGGCGGCAACCGGCGGAAAUGGGCCGCAUCAAGCUAAGCCCAAGUGAGCGCCUCACCGAGGGUCCGGGGCCCAAGCCAUGCGUCGUCGUCUUCCACGCCGCCGUCCUUCCUCCGCUUCUUCCGCAGUGACCUCUCGCGCGCCGGAGCGAGUGGAGUGGAUCAGCUCUAGAUAGGUCAAGCAGAUCGAUGGUGGCCGGCGAGCACCGGCGCCGGCGGACGGCGUUGUGGAGCAGGAGGACCCAGCGCAGCGUCGGCGGCGUGGUGGUGGACAGCGCGCGCGGCGGGGACAGGGCGGCAGGCGGCCGUGGCCGCUCGGGCUCGGGUAAGAACAGCCUCUACUGUACAAUAUGUACUAGACUGAGAAUAUUUAGUCCCACAUCACUGGGGGUGAAGGGGGGGAAUAUAAAUGUUGCUGCGCAGCAGCAGCCCAAGUACUGUUCUUGGUAGAACCACAGUUUACUCUUUAAACUUAGAAUUACCAACAAAAUUUUGCUCUUUAAACUUAGAAUUACCAACAACAUCUUGACCUGCAGGUUCUUUUGUUAACAAUUUGUAGAAUUUGAGAUGACCACCGUUACUCUGCUUGGAAUGAUAUUGUUCCACAGUAGGACAUCGUUUACUUCUGUCUAUACAUAGGUGCUCUUGAUUUUUUUUAACAUGGAGUAGAUGUUCCUUGUAGAAUUUUGUUUGAUGCAAUGAAUGACUCUGGUAGCGUCUCGGACAUGAUUUGAGAUCACAGAUCAGGAUUCUCAUGGCGCUGUCCGUGACUUGCAUGACCCAGUACUUUUGUUUUGUCAUCGACCCGGUACCUUCUCAUGGAUGUCAGAAAUUAUUAGGUCCCUUUGAAUUGUUCUGAUCAUGUAUGUUGCCACAUCCAGGACCUCUGAUGAUUUUUCAAUUGGAGCCUUCCGGUGUUACCUAUUGUGCUGUUCAUAGACUUGGAAGUUGAAUAUUGCAAUGCUGGUACAUUGCAGUGCAUGCAAGAAAACUCUGUUUCACAUACCAAGUUUUUAUCUUGUCAUUUUCUUACCGAUUGAAUCUUACUAAUGUGGCUAUUGUCUAUCAUAAUUGCAGCAGCCCUCACUGCAGUUUCGCACCAAAUUACCAACUAGUGCCUAAAUGGGUUGGUAGAAUUGUAGAUGAUAGGUGUGGUAGCACUGUAUCUGUUACUCAUUUGCUAUUUGGCAGAUUGGCAUUCCUUUUUCUAUUUACAUGUUUACCUUUACAAAAGUAUGACCUUUAAGUUGAUGAAAUCCUAUGUUUUCAGCUGAGAUGCGUGCACGUGAUUGGUAUAAUAUUAUUACAUGCCAUAUACAGCAUGUAUGGCUUCUUCAGAACUUUGUUAUUGGUUAACAUGUUCAGAUACCAUCUUCAGGCACUGAGUCAAUAAGUCUUGUGCAAUAAACAGGGCGUGGUAAUUUUACUGUUUUAGGCACUGAAGGUGGCUGGCUUGAAAAUUUUAAUCUUCAGUCUGGGAUUAGUCGUGGCAGUUACAUUGAUAGCUCACUGGCAAUGCACUGUACACGUGAAAGAAGAAGUUGGAUUAUGUUGUGAUGCUACAAAUGGCUCUCUGGUUAGUGCUGGAUACAGUGGUGACAUUAAGGUUUGAUGAUACUGUUGCACUGUAGUUCAAUUACAGCUUAUUUUAUUUUUUCAAAAAAUAUUGCAGUUUGUUUUAGUGCCUGUUUAGUAAGUGCAUAUACUUUAUGGAAUGCUAAUGUCACUUCAUUUCAUCUUCCAUGCUCUUAUCCAUUGGUAAAAAUUAUGUUCCUCU
Triticum urartu is the source of this 2474-nucleotide non-coding RNA. Lineage: Eukaryota; Viridiplantae; Streptophyta; Magnoliopsida; Poales; Poaceae. The record is from RefSeq and is a predicted model, not a curated record.